UACGUAGGGUGGCAAGCGUUGUCCGGAUUUACUGGGCGUAAAGCGCACGCAGGCGGUCUGUCAAGUCGGAUGUGAAAUCCCCGGGCUCAACCUGGGAACUGCAUUCGAAACUGGCAGGCUAGAGUCUUGUAGAGGGGGGUAGAAUUCCAGGUGUAGCGGUGAAAUGCGUAGAGAUCUGGAGGAAUACCGGUGGCGAAGGCGGCCCCCUGGACAAAGACUGACGCUCAGGUGCGAAAGCGUGGGGAGCAAACAGG
RNAcentral lists this ribosomal RNA (254 nucleotides) under uncultured bacterium. RNAcentral's name for it is "partial 16S ribosomal RNA". It matches the Rfam family "Bacterial small subunit ribosomal RNA", at positions 524 to 776 of the family's 1533-position model. The record is from RNAcentral.